Molecule: long non-coding RNA, 1186 nt
Filed under: Equus caballus (horse)
Lineage: Eukaryota; Metazoa; Chordata; Mammalia; Perissodactyla; Equidae
Description: lncRNA (ENSECAG00000052627.1)
Source: RNAcentral
CCUAACGUGUCCCAGGCAGUUCAUACUUCUCGGAUUGGGUUUGCAGAAGAGGAGCACGUUAAUAAUUUAUUCCCAGUAGAGCCACCGUAGCUCGCUCCCAGGACGAGGCGCAGACUUGCGCGGCGCGUGCGCGGAAGUAGGAGCGCCGACACCUAGUUUCGCGAGAGAGUUCGUGGUAGGUUUUGGUUGCUUCUGUCGGGCCUGCGAGGCGCUCGGUGUCUCAGAUUCGCUCACCAAGUGACAGGUUUUAGGGAUGUUAGGGUCUGUACGUUUCUCUAUCUAAUAAACAUUACUGUUAGUUUUGCUGAGAAGCGGAACCGAGCCCUGCCCGCGUGGUGGCCGCACCCAUCCUCGCCGAUGCUCCCCGCUGGCCGGCUCUCCUGGCCCCACCCCCGCAGUUAUUUCUCCGGAAACAGGCGGCCCUCUGACCUUUGCUGGUGGCUAGGGGAUAGCGAACACCACCACCCCAGUUACGCUCUCGUGCCCAGCCCCGGGUCGGGCUCGAGGGUGAGGUCUUGAGUGAGGCCUGCAGGCAGAGUCGGGCCCGAAGGAGAGCUUGCUUCUAAGUGCUAUAAAUGCAGCUAAAGAGCCCCUUUCCUCCGGACACCGCAUCCUCCCGAGGGUCGCCACAUCUGGGCCUCCCCUCGGGUCUCUUCUGUGGAGUAUUUCCUUUAUGAGAGAGUGUGCUUGGGAGCCGAAUGAUUCCAAGUCGAGGUGUGGAAAGGCUGGAGUCUAGAUCUUAGAAGGCUGUAGGCUGGGUGGUGGUCCUUUUUACUGGGUUGUUGUAUCCACACAACUAGAUGUCCUUUGAAGGCUCAUAAAAAUCUUUACUGUUGCUGUUUCAGCAACUUCCAACCAUUCUCACGCUUUCUAAUUCUUCUUAAGUAUAAGAAGGCAUUAUAUUUAGGGUUUCUGGCAUGGUCGUAAAGGGCUUGUUUGGAUUGACACUGAAAAGAAGAAAGUAGGAAAGCAUUUCCACAUUAUUGAGCGAGAUUUUUUUUUUCCUUUGCAGCUAUAGGCUGAAUGUUUGUGUCCCUCCUCAAUUUUGGGAGGACAUAGAAGACUGCUGAGACUGCUGUCUGUGAACCAGGAAGCAGUCUCAUAUCACACACUGAGCCUGCUAACACCUUGAACUUGACCUUUCCAGUCUCCAGAACUUGGAGAAAUAAAUGUUUGCUGUUUAAGC